CCAAAGUUGACCCCGUUUCUACCAGUGUGAAAUAGCUUUGUGCACAGUGCUGGAAGCUAAAACGUACUAACCAUGGUCUUUGAAACUCUAAACAUUAUUAAUGUCCCUUUGAAAAAGAGCUUUUCCCCACAAGGGUGAAAGACAUGUUAAAUUGGUACUUCUCAACAGAUGUGUAGGGAGGUUGUUGGUAUAAAAACUAAGGUUUGGGAUCAGCGUGGAAAUAUUAGAAAUGAUGGGCCAGUAAACACUUCUAGGUUCUUCCGGUGAAUUCCAGCAGGAUAAAGUUUUUUUGCCCAGACACUACAGCAGAACAAGGGAAAGAACAGAGAAGAAGAGAUCCUGAAAUUCCAGUGCUGGAAUUCAUCCACUCAACCCGGUCAACUCCAUCUUGAAACUCUACCCUGUGGAUUCGUUUCAUGAAUGAUGACCCCAAGACCAAAGACCAGGGAAUCCUCAAAGAAGGAGAUGAAAUUCUCCAAGGACACGUGAUCAAGGACCCAGUAGAGAGGCGACGUGAAGAGCUGCCGUACCUGUGUGGCAGUUCCUCUUUGUUUUGUAUCCAGUGACCUGAUCAUUCUCAUCAGUGAUGGUGCAACUCUCCUCCAGCCGCAGUGUCUGGAACUCAUCAAGGUGACCUAGGCGGACAUACCUGCAAACAGGGUUUUUUGUCAAUCAGUAAACCCCUGUAAAUCAGACUCAUAAACCAAAGGGUUUUGGAAAUCUCUGACACUGGAAAGCUGACAAGUAGAGAAUAAAAAGGAUAAAGUUCUCAUCUCUACAGAAGUGAGAAAAAAACAACCCACCUCUGUGGACUUCAUUCAUCAUUACCACAGUCUGUAUCUCCUUUUAUUUUUUCUAUUUAUGUUUAACUUUGUCUUAUUCCAAGAAGCAUUGUAGGCAAUAUAUGAGAAUUGGAGAAAUGCAAGAUUCUAAUGCUACCCUGUAGGGCCUGGGCCUUGCUUGCUCAGCAAAAGCCCCCAGGCCCAUUGCAACCAUGUGUCCUUCUGGCUUCCUGCUGGGCAGGGAGCCCAGCUGCUGGGAUUUGUAACGAUCUGGGCCUGGCCAGCCUGGAUCCCCCCUUAUCCCACGAGAAGAACAUCGAGUCUUACAGGAAGACAG
RNAcentral lists this long non-coding RNA (1119 nucleotides) under Equus caballus (horse). Its description in RNAcentral is "lncRNA (ENSECAG00000047383.1)". Lineage: Eukaryota; Metazoa; Chordata; Mammalia; Perissodactyla; Equidae. The record is from RNAcentral.